GACGAACGCUGGCGGCGUGCCUAAUACAUGCAAGUCGAGCGAAUCUUGAGGUGCUUGCACCUCUUGGUUAGCGGCGGACGGGUGAGUAACACGUGGGCAACCUGCCUGUAAGACUGGGAUAACACCGGGAAACCGGUGCUAAUACCGGAUAAUCCUUUUCCUCUCAUGAGGAAAAGCUGAAAGUCGGUUUCGGCUGACACUUACAGAUGGGCCCGCGGCGCAUUAGCAGUUGGUGAGGUAACGGCUCACCAAGGCGACGAUGCGUAGCCGACCUGAGAGGGUGAUCGGCCACACUGGGACUGAGACACGGCCCAGACUCCUACGGGAGGCAGCAGUAGGGAAUCUUCCGCAAUGGACGAAAGUCUGACGGAGCAACGCCGCGUGAGUGACG
RNAcentral lists this ribosomal RNA (391 nucleotides) under uncultured bacterium. Its description in RNAcentral is "bacterial SSU rRNA". It matches the Rfam family "Bacterial small subunit ribosomal RNA", at positions 28 to 410 of the family's 1533-position model. The record is from RNAcentral.